RNAcentral lists this unclassified non-coding RNA (89 nucleotides) under Pseudomonas synxantha. The record is from RNAcentral. Lineage: Bacteria; Pseudomonadati; Pseudomonadota; Gammaproteobacteria; Pseudomonadales; Pseudomonadaceae. RNAcentral also lists the same sequence under 1 other name.
UGUGGGAGCUGGCUUGCCUGCGAUAGCGGUGUGUCAGUUAGCAAUGAUUUGACUGAUAGACCGCUAUCGCAGGCAAGCCAGCUCCCACA